AACAGUUGGAAACGACUGCUAAUACCGCCAUAACGCAUAGGUAUCGCAUGGUACUUAUGCCAAAGAUUUAUCGCUCUGAGAUGGGCUCGCGUCUGAUUAGCUAGUUGGUGGGGUAACGGCCCACCAAGGCGACGAUCAGUAGCCGGACUGAGAGGUUGAACGGCCANAUUGGGACUGAGAUACGGCCCAGACUCCUACGGGAGGCAGCAUG
RNAcentral lists this ribosomal RNA (211 nucleotides) under uncultured bacterium. RNAcentral describes it as "partial 16S ribosomal RNA". It matches the Rfam family "Bacterial small subunit ribosomal RNA", at positions 145 to 353 of the family's 1533-position model. The record is from RNAcentral.